Molecule: ribosomal RNA, 491 nt
Filed under: uncultured bacterium
Lineage: Bacteria
Description: partial 16S ribosomal RNA
Rfam family: Bacterial small subunit ribosomal RNA
Source: RNAcentral
GAUGAACGCUGGCUCCAGGCUUAACACAUGCAAGUCGAGGGGAAACGACGGGGAAGCUUGCUUCCCCGGGCGUCGACCGGCGCACGGGUGAGUAACGCGUAUCCAACCUGCCUCUGACUGAGGGAUAACCCGUCGAAAGUCGGCCUAAUACCUCAUGGUAUCGUCUGCGGGCAUCCAACGACGAUUAAAGAUUUCAUCGGUCAGGGAUGGGGAUGCGUCUGAUUAGCUUGUUGGCGGGGUAACGGCCCACCAAGGCUACGAUCAGUAGGGGUUCUGAGAGGAAGGUCCCCCACAUUGGAACUGAGACACGGUCCAAACUCCUACGGGAGGCAGCAGUGAGGAAUAUUGGUCAAUGGGCGAGAGCCUGAACCAGCCAAGUAGCGUGCAGGAAGACGGCCCUAUGGGUUGUAAACUGCUUUUAUGCGGGGAUAAAGUGAGGGACGUGUCCCUCAUUGCAGGUACCGCAUGAAUAAGGACCGGCUAAUUCCGUG